CCCAGACUCCUACGGGAGGCAGCAGUGGGGGAUAUUGGACAAUGGGGGAAACCCUGAUCCAGCGACGCCGCGUGAGUGAAGAAGUAUUUCGGUAUGUAAAGCUCUGUCAGCAGGGAAGAAAGAAAUGACGGUACCUGACCAAGAAGCCCCGGCUAACUACGUGCCAGCAGCCGCGGUAAUACGGAGGAUGCGAGCGUUAUCCGGAUUUAUUGGGUUUAAAGGGUGCGCAGGCGGAAUGUCAAGUCAGCGGUAAAAUUUCGGGGCUCAACCCCGUCGUGCCGUUGAAACUGGCGUUCUUGAGUGAGCGAGAAGUAUGCGGAAUGCGUGGUGUAGCGGUGAAAUGCAUAGAUAUCACGCAGAACUCCGAUUGCGAAGGCAGCAUACCGGCGCUCAACUGACGCUGAUGCACGAAAGCGUGGGUAUCGAACAGGAUUAGAUACCCGAGUA
This 447-nucleotide ribosomal RNA is filed under the name uncultured bacterium. RNAcentral describes it as "bacterial SSU rRNA". It matches the Rfam family "Bacterial small subunit ribosomal RNA", at positions 330 to 792 of the family's 1533-position model. The record is from RNAcentral.